Molecule: ribosomal RNA, 644 nt
Filed under: Arthroleptella lightfooti (Cape chirping frog)
Lineage: Eukaryota; Metazoa; Chordata; Amphibia; Anura; Pyxicephalidae
Description: partial 12S small subunit ribosomal RNA
Rfam family: Bacterial small subunit ribosomal RNA
Source: RNAcentral
UAGACUUAGGAGCUGGCAUCAGGCACAGAUUUCUAGCCCACAACGCCUAGUUUCACCACACCCCUAAGGGUACUCAGCAGUGAUAAAGAUUGAUCAUAAGCGUAAGCUUGACUCAGUUAAAGAAAAUGAGAGCCGGCCAAUCUGGUGCCAGCCGCCGCGGCUACACCAGGAGGCUCAAGUUGAUAGUCACCGGCGUUAAGCGUGAUUAAAGAAUGACUUGAUUAGAGAUAAAUUUUAAUCCAUAGUAGUAAUAAGCCUAUUAUUUAGAAAGACAAAAACGAAAGUUACUCUAACAAUACUUGAAUACACGACAGCUAGGAAACAAACUGGGAUUAGAUACCCCACUAUGCCUUGCCGUAAACUAUUAACUUACAACAACCAACGCCAGGGUCUUACGAGCUUAAGCUUAAAACCCAAAGGACUUGACGGUGUCCCACCCACCUAGAGGAGCCUGUUCUAUAAUCGACACUCCCCGCUUCACCUCACCAUUUUUAGCCUCUCAGCCUGUAUACCUCCGUCGUAAGCUUACCCUAUGAAUGUAUUAGUAAGCCCAAAGGUCCACCCACCAAUACGUCAGGUCAAGGUGCAGCUCAUAAAAUGGAAAGCAAUGGGCUACAAUUUCUAACCUAGAACAAACGAAAAAA